RNAcentral lists this small RNA (111 nucleotides) under Arabidopsis thaliana (thale cress). RNAcentral's name for it is "ATSL042600". Lineage: Eukaryota; Viridiplantae; Streptophyta; Magnoliopsida; Brassicales; Brassicaceae. The record is from RNAcentral.
CAAUGUUGGGGAUGCUGAACCAGAAGACGAAUUCCGAUGUAAUUUAUCGUCCUCGGACGAAGAUGAAGUAGAAUAUGAAGAGUAAUAAAUGUGUGAAGUAUAUGUUUAAUU